This 337-nucleotide unclassified non-coding RNA is filed under the name soil metagenome. RNAcentral describes it as "partial contains 5.8S ribosomal RNA, internal transcribed spacer 2, and large subunit ribosomal RNA". The stretch from base 1 to 120 matches the Rfam family "5.8S ribosomal RNA", at positions 35 to 154 of the family's 154-position model. The record is from RNAcentral.
GAUGAAGAACGUAGCGAAAUGCGAUAAGUAGUGUGAAUUGCAGAAUUCAGUGAAUCAUCGAAUCUUUGAACGCACAUUGCGCCCCUUGGUAUUCCAUGGGGCAUGCCUGUUCGAGCGUCAUUUGUACCUUCAAGCUCUGCUUGGUGUUGGGUGUUUGUCUCGCCUCUGCGUGUAGACUCGCCUCAAAACAAUUGGCAGCCGGCGUAUUGAUUUCGGAGCGCAGUACAUCUCGCGCUUUGCACUCAUAACGACGACGUCCAAAAGUACAUUUUUACACUCUUGACCUCGGAUCAGGUAGGGAUACCCGCUGAACUUAAGCAUAUCAAUAAGCGGAGGA